GGACCCGUGGUGUAGCGGUUAACAUGCGGCCCUGUCAAGGCCGAGAGCGCGGGUUCGAAUCCCGUCGGGUCCGCCA
This 76-nucleotide transfer RNA is filed under the name Oscillochloris sp. Its description in RNAcentral is "tRNA-Asp". It matches the Rfam family "tRNA". From Rfam's summary of the family: Transfer RNA (tRNA) molecules are approximately 80 nucleotides in length. Their secondary structure includes four short double-helical elements and three loops (D, anti-codon, and T loops). The record is from RNAcentral. Lineage: Bacteria; Bacillati; Chloroflexota; Chloroflexia; Chloroflexales; Oscillochloridaceae.